UACGUAGGGUGCGAGCGUUGUCCGGAAUUAUUGGGCGUAAAGGGCUCGUAGGCGGUUUGUCGCGUCGGGAGUGAAAACCCAGGGCUUAACCCUGGGCUGGCUUCCGAUACGGGCAGACUAGAGGUAUGCAGGGGAGAACGGAAUUCCUGGUGUAGCGGUGAAAUGCGCAGAUAUCAGGAGGAACACCGGUGGCGAAGGCGGUUCUCUGGGCCGAUACUGACGCUGAGGAGCGAAAGCGUGGGGAGCAAACAGG
This 253-nucleotide ribosomal RNA is filed under the name uncultured bacterium. RNAcentral's name for it is "partial 16S ribosomal RNA". It matches the Rfam family "Bacterial small subunit ribosomal RNA", at positions 524 to 776 of the family's 1533-position model. The record is from RNAcentral.